UGGGGAAUAUUGCACAAUGGGCGCAAGCCUGAUGCAGCCAUGCCGCGUGUGUGAAGAAGGCCUUCGGGUUGUAAAGCACUUUCAGCGGGGAGGAAGGCGUUAAGGUUAAUAACCUUGGCGAUUGACGUUACCCGCAGAAGAAGCACCGGCUAACUCCGUGCCAGCAGCCGCGGUAAUACGGAGGGUGCAAGCGUUAAUCGGAAGUACUGGGCGUAAAGCGCACGCAGGCGGUCUGUCAAGUCGGAUGUGAAAUCCCCGGGCUCAACCUGGGAACUGCAUUCGAAACUGGCAGGCUAGAGUCUUGUAGAGGGGGGUAGAAUUCCAGGUGUAGCGGUGAAAUGCGUAGAGAUCUGGAGGAAUACCGGUGGCGAAGGCGGCCCCCUGGACAAAGACUGACGCUCAGGUGCGAAAGCGUGGGGAGCAAACAGG
RNAcentral lists this ribosomal RNA (429 nucleotides) under Chloroflexota bacterium. RNAcentral's name for it is "Chloroflexi bacterium partial 16S ribosomal RNA". It matches the Rfam family "Bacterial small subunit ribosomal RNA", at positions 355 to 776 of the family's 1533-position model. The record is from RNAcentral. Lineage: Bacteria; Bacillati; Chloroflexota.